GGGAGGUAGUGACAAUAAAUAACAAUACAGGGCCCAUUCGGGUCUUGUAAUUGGAAUGAGUACAAUUUAAAUCUCUUAACGAGGAACAAUUGGAGGGCAAGUCUGGUGCCAGCAGCCGCGGUAAUUCCAGCUCCAAUAGCGUAUAUUAAAGUUGUUGCAGUUAAAAAGCUCGUAGUUGAAUUUUAGGCCUGGCCGGAUGGUCCGUCUUUGGCGAGUACUGUUCUGUCGUCGGGUCUAUCCUUCUGGUGAGCCGGGAUGCCCUUUAUUGGGUGUGUCGGGGAACCAGGACCAUUACCUUGAAAAAAUUAGAGUGUUUAAAGCGGGCAUUUGCUUGAAUAGAUUAGCAUGGAAUAAUAGAAUAGGACGUUGGUUCUAUUUUGUUGGUUUUAGGACCACCGUAAUGAUUAAUAGGGAUAGUUGGG
This 422-nucleotide ribosomal RNA is filed under the name uncultured Ambisporaceae. Its description in RNAcentral is "SSU rRNA". It matches the Rfam family "Eukaryotic small subunit ribosomal RNA", at positions 459 to 886 of the family's 1831-position model. The record is from RNAcentral. Lineage: Eukaryota; Fungi; Glomeromycota; Glomeromycetes; Archaeosporales; Ambisporaceae.